GCGGGCGUGGCGGAAUUGGCAGACGCGCAUGGUUCAGGUCCAUGUGGGGUAAAACCCGUGAAGGUUCGACUCCUUUCGCCCGCA
This 84-nucleotide transfer RNA is filed under the name Planctomycetales bacterium ZRK34. It matches the Rfam family "tRNA". Rfam says of the family: Transfer RNA (tRNA) molecules are approximately 80 nucleotides in length. Their secondary structure includes four short double-helical elements and three loops (D, anti-codon, and T loops). Lineage: Bacteria; Pseudomonadati; Planctomycetota; Planctomycetia; Planctomycetales. The record is from Rfam by way of RNAcentral.